GAUGAACGCUGGCGGCGUGCCUAAUACAUACAAGUCGAGCGAACAGACGAGGAGCUUGCUCCUCUGACGUUAGCGGCGGACGGGUGAGUAACACGUGGAUAACCUACCUAUAAGACUGGGAUAACUUCGGGAAACCGGAGCUAAUACCGGAUAAUAUAAUGAACCGCAUGGUUCAAUAGUGAAAGACGGUUUUGCUGUCACUUAUAGAUGGAUCCGCGCCGCAUUAGCUAGUUGGUAAGGUAACGGCUUACCAAGGCAACGAUGCGUAGCCGACCUGAGAGGGUGAUCGGCCACACUGGAACUGAGACACGGUCCAGACUCCUACGGGAGGCAGCAGUAGGGAAUCUUCCGCAAUGGGCGAAAGCUUGACGGAGCAACGCCGCGUGAGUGAUGAAGGUCUUCGGAUCGUAAAACUCUGUUAUUAGGGAAGAACAAAUGUGUAAGUAACUAUGCACGUCUUGACGGUACCUAAUCAGAAAGCCACGGCUAACUACGU
Molecule: ribosomal RNA, 496 nt
Filed under: uncultured bacterium
Lineage: Bacteria
Description: partial 16S ribosomal RNA
Rfam family: Bacterial small subunit ribosomal RNA
Source: RNAcentral